This 468-nucleotide ribosomal RNA is filed under the name uncultured bacterium. RNAcentral describes it as "partial 16S ribosomal RNA". It matches the Rfam family "Bacterial small subunit ribosomal RNA", at positions 28 to 507 of the family's 1533-position model. The record is from RNAcentral.
GACGAACGCUGGCGGCGUGCUUAACACAUGCAAGUCGAACGGAAAGGCCCUGCUUUUGUGGGGUGCUCGAGUGGCGAACGGGUGAGUAACACGUGAGUAACCUGCCCUUGACUUUGGGAUAACUUCAGGAAACUGGGGCUAAUACCGGAUAGGAGCUCCUGCUGCACGGUGGGGGUUGGAAAGUUUCGGCGGUUGGGGAUGGACUCGCGGCUUAUCAGCUUGUUGGUGGGGUAGUGGCUUACCAAGGCUUUGACGGGUAGCCGGCCUGAGAGGGUGACCGGCCACAUUGGGACUGAGAUACGGCCCAGACUCCUACGGGAGGCAGCAGUGGGGAAUAUUGCACAAUGGGCGGAAGCCUGAUGCAGCAACGCCGCGUGCGGGAUGACGGCCUUCGGGUUGUAAACCGCUUUCGCCUGUGACGAAGCGUGAGUAACGGUAAUGGGUAAAGAAGCACCGGCUAACUACGUG